This 108-nucleotide ribosomal RNA is filed under the name uncultured bacterium. RNAcentral's name for it is "partial 16S ribosomal RNA". The record is from RNAcentral.
AAGGCCUUCGGGUCGUAAAGCCCUGUCGGAGGGGAAGAAAAGUCUGUUGGCUAAUAUCCAGCGGACCUUUGACGGUACCCUCAAAGGAAGCACCGGCUAACUCCGUGC